Molecule: long non-coding RNA, 5173 nt
Organism: Anolis carolinensis (green anole)
Lineage: Eukaryota; Metazoa; Chordata; Lepidosauria; Squamata; Anolidae
Exons: 3
Source: RefSeq, a predicted model, not a curated record
AGACAGAAGGCCUGAUCCUUGCAGCCCAGGAGCAAGACAUCAGAACAAAGGCCAUUAAUAAUAAUAAUAAUAAUAAUAAUAAUAGAAGACCUGGCUCUGGCUCAUGAAUGGGACCCUGAAGAAGGAGACAGAAGGCCUGAUCCUUGCAGCCCAGGAGCAAGACAUCAGGACAAAGGCAAUUAAUAAUAAUAAUAAUAAUAAUAAUAAUAAUAAUAGAAGACCUGGCUCUGGCUCACGAAUGGGACCCUGAAGAAGGAGACGGAAGGCCUGAUCCUUGCAGCCCAGGAGCAAGACAUCAGGACAAAGGCAAUUAAUAAUAAUAAUAAUAAUAAUAAUAAUAAUAAUAAUAAUAGAAGACCUGGCUCUGGCUCACGAAUGGGACCCUGAAGAAGGAGACAGAAGGCCUGAUCCUUGCAGCCCAGGAGCAAGACAUCAGGACAAAGGCCAUUAAUAAUAAUAAUAAUAAUAAUAAUAAUAAUAAUAAUAGAAGACCUGGCUCUGGCUCAUGAAUGGGACCCUGAAGAAGGAGACAGAAGGCCUGAUCCUUGCAGCCCAGGAGCAAGACAUCAGGACAAAGGCAAUUAAUAAUAAUAAUAAUAAUAAUAAUAAUAGAAGACCUGGCUCUGGCUCACGAAUGGGACCCUGAAGAAGGAGACGGAAGGCCUGAUCCUUGCAGCCCAGGAGCAAGACAUCAGGACAAAGGCAAUUAAUAAUAAUAAUAAUAAUAAUAAUAAUAAUAAUAAUAAUAGAAGACCUGGCUCUGGCUCACGAAUGGGACCCUGAAGAAGGAGACAGAAGGCCUGAUCCUUGCAGCCCAGGAGCAAGACAUCAGGACAAAGGCCAUUAAUAAUAAUAAUAAUAAUAAUAAUAAUAAUAGAAGACCUGGCUCUGGCUCACGAAUGGGACCCUGAAGAAGGAGACAGAAGGCCUGAUCCUUGCAGCCCAGGAGCAAGACAUCAGGACAAAGGCCAUUAAUAAUAAUAAUAAUAAUAAUAAUAAUAAUAAUAGAAGACCUGGCUCUGGCUCACGAAUGGGACCCUGAAGAAGGAGACAGAAGGCCUGAUCCUUGCAGCCCAGGAGCAAGACAUCAGAACAAAGGCCAUUAAUAAUAAUAAUAAUAAUAAUAAUAAUAAUAAUAGAAGACCUGGCUCUGGCUCAUGAAUGGGACCCUGAAGAAGGAGACAGAAGGCCUGAUCCUUGCAGCCCAGGAGCAAGACAUCAGGACAAAGGCAAUUAAUAAUAAUAAUAAUAAUAAUAAUAAUAAUAAUAAUAGAAGACCUGGCUCUGGCUCACGAAUGGGACCCUGAAGAAGGAGACGGAAGGCCUGAUCCUUGCAGCCCAGGAGCAAGACAUCAGGACAAAGGCAAUUAAUAAUAAUAAUAAUAAUAAUAAUAAUAAUAAUAAUAAUAGAAGACCUGGCUCUGGCUCACGAAUGGGACCCUGAAGAAGGAGACAGAAGGCCUGAUCCUUGCAGCCCAGGAGCAAGACAUCAGAACAAAGGCCAUUAAUAAUAAUAAUAAUAAUAAUAAUAAUAAUAAUAGAAGACCUGGCUCUGGCUCAUGAAUGGGACCCUGAAGAAGGAGACAGAAGGCCUGAUCCUUGCAGCCCAGGAGCAAGACAUCAGGACAAAGGCAAUUAAUAAUAAUAAUAAUAAUAAUAAUAAUAAUAAUAAUAAUAGAAGACCUGGCUCUGGCUCACGAAUGGGACCCUGAAGAAGGAGACGGAAGGCCUGAUCCUUGCAGCCCAGGAGCAAGACAUCAGGACAAAGGCAAUUAAUAAUAAUAAUAAUAAUAAUAAUAAUAAUAAUAAUAGAAGACCUGGCUCUGGCUCACGAAUGGGACCCUGAAGAAGGAGACAGAAGGCCUGAUCCUUGCAGCCCAGGAGCAAGACAUCAGGACAAAGGCCAUUAAUAAUAAUAAUAAUAAUAAUAAUAAUAAUAAUAGAAGACCUGGCUCUGGCUCACGAAUGGGACCCUGAAGAAGGAGACAGAAGGCCUGAUCCUUGCAGCCCAGGAGCAAGACAUCAGGACAAAGGCAAUUAAUAAUAAUAAUAAUAAUAAUAAUAAUAGAAGACCUGGCUCUGGCUCACGAAUGGGACCCUGAAGAAGGAGACAGAAGGCCUGAUCCUUGCAGCCCAGGAGCAAGACAUCAGAACAAAGGCAAUUAAUAAUAAUAAUAAUAAUAAUAAUAAUAAUAAUAGAAGACCUGGCUCUGGCUCAUGAAUGGGACCCUGAAGAAGGAGACAGAAGGCCUGAUCCUUGCAGCCCAGGAGCAAGACAUCAGAACAAAGGCAAUUAAUAAUAAUAAUAAUAAUAAUAAUAAUAAUAGAAGACCUGGCUCUGGCUCAUGAAUGGGACCCUGAAGAAGGAGACAGAAGGCCUGAUCCUUGCAGCCCAGGAGCAAGACAUCAGGACAAAGGCCAUUAAUAAUAAUAAUAAUAAUAAUAAUAAUAGAAGACCUGGCUCUGGCUCACGAAUGGGACCCUGAAGAAGGAGACAGAAGGCCUGAUCCUUGCAGCCCAGGAGCAAGACAUCAGGACAAAGGCCAUUAAUAAUAAUAAUAAUAAUAAUAGAAGACCUGGCUCUGGCUCACGAAUGGGACCCUGAAGAAGGAGACAGAAGGCCUGGUCCUUGCAGCCCAGGAGCAAGACAUCAGAACAAAGGCCAUUAAUAAUAAUAAUAAUAAUAAUAAUAAUAGAAGACCUGGCUCUGGCUCACGAAUGGGACCCUGAAGAAGGAGACAGAAGGCCUGGUCCUUGCAGCCCAGGAGCAAGACAUCAGGACAAAGGCAAUUAAAUGCAAUUAAGGCCAAGAUCGAAAAAUCAGCUAAUGACCCAAAAUGCAGACUCUGCAAGGAAACCGACGAAACCAUUGACCAUAUCCUCAGCUGCUGUAAGAAAAUCGCACAGACAGACUACAAACAGAGGCACAACUGUGUGGCCCAAAGGAUUCACUGGAACUUGUGCCUCAAGUACCACCUGCGAGCAGCAAAGAACUGGUGGGAUCACAAACCUGCAAAAGUCUUGGAAAAUGAGCACACAAAGAUACUGUGGGACUUCCGAAUCCAGACUGACAAAGUUCUGGAACACAACACACCAGACAUCACAGUUGUGGAAAAGAAAAAGGUUUGGAUCAUUGAUGUUGCCAUCCCAGGUGACAGUCGCAUUGAAGAAAAACAACAGGAAAAACUCAGCCGCUCUCAGGACCUCAAGAUUGAACUGCAAAGACUCUGGCAGAAACCAGUGCAGGUGGUCCCAGUGGUGAUCCAGCAUAUCUAUCUUGUUUGCUGUGUCAUAAUAAUAAAAUAAUAAUAAUAAUAUAAUGAAGCAGGAUAUAAAUACAAAUCACAGGUUCCUAGAGUUGGAAGAGACCUCAUGGGCCAUCCAGUCCAACCCCAUUCUGCCAAGAAGCAGGAAAUCGCAUUCAAAGCACCCCCGACAGAUGGCCACCCAGCCUCUGCUUAAAAGCCUCCCAAGAAGGAGCCUCCACCACAGUCUGGAGCAGAGAGUUCCACUGCUGAACAACUCUCACAGUGAGGAAGUUCUUCCUAAUGUUCAGGUUGGGUUGCUGACCUGAAGGCUGCCAGGUUCAGAUCCCACCCAGGGAGAGUGCAGAUGAGCUCCCUCCGUCAGCUCCAGCUUCAUGAGAGAAGCCUCCCACAAGCUAUUUGGUGUGAAAUUGGCUACAACAAUAGAACACAGAUAGAACACGAUAGAACUGACUUUGGGAGGCUUCUGAGGUUUACAAAAAGCAAAUGAAAACGUAUUGGGUAAAUUUCGAUUUUUUGGUGCAGGCCACGCCCAUGUGUCGGAUAUCGCCACGUAAGUACAAAUUUAAUGAAUUUGAUAUGACAUGCGAUGAGUAACAAAAAAAUUGCACAGCCCAAGAGAUGAUAUAUGAUUUUGCACAGUAAGAGUUCUCUAUGAAUUGUAGUGUCGAGUUCAGUAGCAAGAAGUAAUCAAUGAAUCCAAUUUUUUACGAGACCAGGGAAGAUGUUUUUCAGAAGGGUUAUUUGGGGUAAAUUUAAGGACUUUUCCAAAACACUUUCAUCAAAUUUCCUUCUGUGCUUUAGGCAAAGCUUGGACUGUAAUGAAAAUGUCCAAAUUGAUUGCCAGUGAUUAGAGAGUGCCAUCAUUGCUGUUUUGAGACUGAGCGGUUGUCAGAAUAAUUUAGUUUUGGAAAGCCCUGCUUGUCAGGAGGAUCGCCGGUUGUUCCUGGCCUAUCUGAGCUGGCUUGCUCAUCCAAGCCCAGCAUGGGGUUUCAUUUGAGCCUAUGCAGCUGUCUCCAAUUUCCUUUGCUUGAAAUGUCAUCAUGUCAAAAUCCCAGAUGUUUGCUGAAAAUUCGGUAGGACUUUAAACAUUUUUUUGCACUGGAAAAAGGUCUUGUCAGGUCAGGAAGUGAAGCCAGGACUUUUUGAUAAGUUAGGCAGAAGCUGGACAGAGAACAAUAUCAAAAAUAUGUCUUUAUUGUGCAACCGUUGGAUGGUUUUUAUAUUGUAGUUUAGAUUAUGAUUUGAGGACGCAAGCUAUGAAUCAGCAGCAUGAUCCAAACCGUUGUGUGUAUUCAAAGGAUUGACGUAUCUCGACUUCAGAACUCUUACACUUGGAGGAUCUUCAUUCCAAGAAAAAGCCAGCAAUUUGGAUCUUUCUACUAGUUAGGGGAACACACAACAACCCAUUUUCCCCAGUCCUCUGUUGCAAUGCCUGAUUUUUCUUUAUGUCUCUUUAAAUAAUAGUUUUUAUUGUUAUACCUUUUCAGAAAAAAUAGAGAUGUAUAAUAUUGUGAUACACACAUACAAAAAGAGAAAAAUGAAAAGAGAGUGGGGGUUGUGGAGCGCUAGUUAGUAGAUUAUAGAGUUAUAUAAAUAUCUGCUGUAUCACCAAAGAAGAGGAAGGAAUUUGGGGAGAUAAUGACGACAUUUUCGUAGGAAACGAGAGGCAACGCGAAAAUGAAACCUGCAGUCAUCGUGCUUGCUUUCGUUUUACUUUUAUUUCUGUCCUGUAGCAAUAAGUAGGUACUGACAGAGGGCUGCUUUCUCAUUACAUCUGAUGUGUGAAUGGGUGUUAAAUAUAUAUAUAUAUAUAUAUAUAUAUAGAGAGAGAGAGAGAGAGAGAGAGAGAGAACGAUAUACUCUGGGAAUCUAAGCUGAGCUGUCAAGGAAUGGUUGAUAUAGUG